Molecule: non-coding RNA, 346 nt
Filed under: Pan troglodytes (chimpanzee)
Lineage: Eukaryota; Metazoa; Chordata; Mammalia; Primates; Hominidae
Source: RNAcentral
AGUCAUCAACCUCUUAACAUAUGAGAAGUACUUUCUAAGGUAAAUAAAUUCCAAAGAUCUUUCCUUCAGUAGUAGUGGUUCUUCUGGCGAUAGAAAAUGAUUAUAGGAAAACUAUAAAUUCUAUAAAGCACUUAAGUAAAUUUUUACGUUCUUACAUACACUUAAAAAUUUGUUUGACCAGGCUUGGUGGCUCACGCCUAUAAUCCCAGCACUUUGGAGGCCAAGGCGGGCAGAUCACUUGAGGUCAGGAGUUCAAGACAAGCCUGGCCAACAUGGUGAAACCCUGUCUCUACUAAAAAUACAAAAAUUAGCCGGGUGUGUAGAGACGGGGUUUCGCCAUGUUGGC